Molecule: non-coding RNA, 24 nt
Filed under: Arabidopsis thaliana (thale cress)
Lineage: Eukaryota; Viridiplantae; Streptophyta; Magnoliopsida; Brassicales; Brassicaceae
Source: RNAcentral
GGUGUAGCCAAAGUCCGUAUGAAU